GUUUGCAGGAGAUGGUCCAGCUGCACGGAAUUCCUUGAACAUAUCUGUCCCAUUAGGAUUUCAGGAUUCAAAACUGAUUUGAAGUCCUUCUUCACAUGCAAGGCAGCAUAAGGGCUUCCUCUAUAGUGCUGUCUUUUUCAGCUGUGCCAACUCAGUAAUGUACGUGGCAUCUUCCUGAUUCAUACCAGCUGGAUCACGGACAUAAACGUUCAUCACAUCCACAAGACUUGGCCCCCACGUGGGUUCUUGGAUCACCCCGUUACACAGCCAGCGCAAGCCACUCUCAGUGUUCUUAGUCUACGGUUUCAGAGUCCCAUAAUUCUAGCUUCCGAAAGUGACUAAUCGAAAAGCUCUCCAGGUUACUCUGUGGAGGGUGGAUUAGCUGGGUGUACAAUGUAGGUGACCAAGUUAUCCCUGGGAAAUCUCUUCAAGAGAAGUUUGAGAGAAAACUUCAAACUUUGGAGGCUCUUGCUGAUGUAAAACGGUCAUAUUAGGAGAGAAGAAGAAAGAAGUGGUGAAGAAGGGAGCAGAUAGGUAGAAGGAGAAGAGAUGGAAAUGAAAAAGGGUUGUUGGAGGCGGAGGUGGAGGCAGAAAGAUGGAACAGUUGGUGAUGGUGCUGAUGAAGACAACAAGAAGGAAGAGGAGUAGGAUUGAAAGGAAAAAAAAAACUGACUUCCUUACUAUCUCAAUCCAAACCUUUCCAAAUGCCUAAGGCAUGCAGUAGGUAUUGCCUGAGAUCUUUGAUAGGCUGGAUGAGGAAAUAUUAGCCUCCCCCCAAGCCUGUCUCCAGGCAACCGGCUACUGGCCGAGCAGGCGCCCUCCUCUUCAUUCUUAUCUCGUGACCCUUUUCCAACUACCUACAGGACUUUUUUCUUCUGGAUAGCCUGAUAUUUUCAAACUUAGAAUGUGUCCUAAACCAGGGGAACCAUCUUUUCUCAGGAACCUACUCCAAUUUAGGAAUUAUUUUUGUUUCCCUCGGGGAUACUGACAUUACUCCGAAUCCCAAAAGGAGGAAAUUGCCCCAAACUGUGACGCAGUCUGGUUUGAGUAUUUUAUUGAAAACGUUUCUUUGAGGCGUCCAAAAGGCAGAGAGAGAGGGUACACAUAGAGAUUGAACGUCUAGGGUGAGAAAACCACUAGAAAGAAAACUGGAAGGCUGAGGAAACUUUUGUGGCGAUGUAGAAAAACAGGUCCAAUGAAUCUACCACUUUAGGAAAGUAGAAAGUUUGCUCAUGUUCUUGCUGGUUUGGACAACAUGUGGACGCUAAAGAAGAGAUUCGACGAACUAUGUUUGAAACAAGAGGAUUUCAAAGCACACAGGAGCACUGUCCAGGAAGACAUUUUGAUAUGCACCACAUCAUGAAAGAAGAUAUAUAUCGCAUAUACAAAAAAGCAUCAUGGAUGAAAUAAAGUGAAAAAUGCUUUGCUUCUA
This is a non-coding RNA of Monodelphis domestica (gray short-tailed opossum), 1432 nucleotides long. NCBI's taxonomy places the organism in Eukaryota, Metazoa, Chordata, Mammalia, Didelphimorphia, Didelphidae. The record is from RefSeq and is a predicted model, not a curated record.